This 64-nucleotide small nucleolar RNA is filed under the name Drosophila guanche. Lineage: Eukaryota; Metazoa; Arthropoda; Insecta; Diptera; Drosophilidae. The record is from RNAcentral.
UUGGCAUUAUGUUCUUAAUGACGGAUGCACAGAUACCCAGUGAGGAUUUUCUUGUCCUUAUUAA